Molecule: long non-coding RNA, 123 nt
Organism: Sander lucioperca (pikeperch)
Lineage: Eukaryota; Metazoa; Chordata; Actinopteri; Perciformes; Percidae
Exons: 3
Source: RefSeq, a predicted model, not a curated record
UAAAAUGGGUCUUUGAAGGAAGAGUGUAACCAGGGUAGAGGGCGAUGAUCAAUGCUCUGAAGCCAUCAUCUUCAACCAUUGAUAGCGGCCUCAUGUUUAGGACACUUACUGUCAAAACAGCUG